GUGCUGGCUUCGCCGGCACAUCUACUAAAAUCAGAAGGACACAGAGAUUAGCAGGGUUCCUGUGCAAGGAUGACUUGCAAAUCUGUGACAUGUUUCAUAUUUUU
Propithecus coquereli (Coquerel's sifaka) is the source of this 104-nucleotide small nuclear RNA. Lineage: Eukaryota; Metazoa; Chordata; Mammalia; Primates; Indriidae. The record is from Ensembl.